GCCUUCGUGGUGUAAUGGUCAGCACACUGAGCCGUUAUUUCAGAGGUCCGCGGUUCGAUUCCCGGCGAAGGCG
Molecule: transfer RNA, 73 nt
Filed under: Stegodyphus mimosarum
Lineage: Eukaryota; Metazoa; Arthropoda; Arachnida; Araneae; Eresidae
Rfam family: tRNA
About the family: Transfer RNA (tRNA) molecules are approximately 80 nucleotides in length. Their secondary structure includes four short double-helical elements and three loops (D, anti-codon, and T loops). Further hydrogen bonds mediate the characteristic L-shaped molecular structure. tRNAs have two regions of fundamental functional importance: the anti-codon, which is responsible for specific mRNA codon recognition, and the 3' end, to which the tRNAs corresponding amino acid is attached (by aminoacyl-tRNA synthetases). tRNAs cope with the degeneracy of the genetic code in two manners: having more than one tRNA (with a specific anti-codon) for a particular amino acid; and 'wobble' base-pairing, i.e. permitting non-standard base-pairing at the 3rd anti-codon position.
Source: Rfam by way of RNAcentral